RNAcentral lists this transfer RNA (71 nucleotides) under Salmo salar (Atlantic salmon). It matches the Rfam family "tRNA". From Rfam's summary of the family: Transfer RNA (tRNA) molecules are approximately 80 nucleotides in length. Their secondary structure includes four short double-helical elements and three loops (D, anti-codon, and T loops). Further hydrogen bonds mediate the characteristic L-shaped molecular structure. tRNAs have two regions of fundamental functional importance: the anti-codon, which is responsible for specific mRNA codon recognition, and the 3' end, to which the tRNAs corresponding amino acid is attached (by aminoacyl-tRNA synthetases). tRNAs cope with the degeneracy of the genetic code in two manners: having more than one tRNA (with a specific anti-codon) for a particular amino acid; and 'wobble' base-pairing, i.e. permitting non-standard base-pairing at the 3rd anti-codon position. The record is from Rfam by way of RNAcentral. Lineage: Eukaryota; Metazoa; Chordata; Actinopteri; Salmoniformes; Salmonidae.
UCCCGUGUGGCUCAGUUGGUAGAGCAUGGUGUUUGCAACACCAGGGUUGUGGGUUUGAUUCCCAUGGGGAA